CUUGAUAAACCAUGAGAGGUCCAGCCUGCCCAGUGACAUAGUUAAACGGCCGCGGUAUUCUGACCGUGCGAAGGUAGCAUAAUCACUUGUUCUUUAAAUGAGGACUAGUAUCAACGGCAUCACGAGGGUUAUACUGUCUCCUCUUUCCAAUCAGUGAAACUGAUUUCCCCGUGAAGAAGCGGGGAUAAGUCUAUAAGACGAGAAGACCCCAUGGAGCUUUAAACUCGACAACAACUUCCCACACAAAUUCUUCAUAUUAUGGAAACUCUGUUUGUUAGUUUUAGGUUGGGGUGACCGCGGAGCAAAACUAAACCUCCACGAUGAAAGGAAUAACUCCUAAUCUAAGAGCCACCGCUCUAAGAAUCAAUAGCUUGACAUAAAAUGAUCCGAUAGUCGAUCAACGGACCA
RNAcentral lists this ribosomal RNA (408 nucleotides) under Nanorana aenea (keel-backed frog). RNAcentral's name for it is "partial 16S ribosomal RNA". It matches the Rfam family "Bacterial large subunit ribosomal RNA", at positions 1834 to 2459 of the family's 2925-position model. Lineage: Eukaryota; Metazoa; Chordata; Amphibia; Anura; Dicroglossidae. The record is from RNAcentral.